UCGAUGGAAAUGAAGAUAGUUCCACAGUUGUAAUCAAAAGACUUAGCGAGCCGAUCAGAGCACGUUUCGUCCGAUUAUUGCCAAUAGAGUGGCAUAAACACAUAUCAAUGAGAAUUGAGAUUUACGGAUGCCCAGACUGCAUCACACCUCUUGGCAUGGAAAGCGGAAAUAUCGCUGACUCAAAGAUAACUACAUCCUCGAUUUUGGAUGA
Long non-coding RNA from Pocillopora damicornis (cauliflower coral), 211 nucleotides. The record is from RefSeq and is a predicted model, not a curated record. NCBI's taxonomy places the organism in Eukaryota, Metazoa, Cnidaria, Anthozoa, Scleractinia, Pocilloporidae.